This 1090-nucleotide ribosomal RNA is filed under the name Trichoderma lixii. RNAcentral's name for it is "eukaryotic LSU rRNA". The stretch from base 520 to 1090 matches the Rfam family "Eukaryotic large subunit ribosomal RNA", at positions 1 to 581 of the family's 3401-position model. Lineage: Eukaryota; Fungi; Ascomycota; Sordariomycetes; Hypocreales; Hypocreaceae. The record is from RNAcentral.
CUCCCAAACCCAAUGUGAACGUUACCAAACUGUUGCCUCGGCGGGAUCUCUGCCCCGGGUGCGUCGCAGCCCCGGACCAAGGCGCCCGCCGGAGGACCAACCAAAACUCUUUUUGUAUACCCCCUCGCGGGUUUUUUUAUAAUCUGAGCCUUCUCGGCGCCUCUCGUAGGCGUUUCGAAAAUGAAUCAAAACUUUCAACAACGGAUCUCUUGUUCUGGCAUCGAUGAAGAACGCAGCGAAAUGCGAUAAGUAAUGUGAAUUGCAGAAUUCAGUGAAUCAUCGAAUCUUUGAACGCACAUUGCGCCCGCCAGUAUUCUGGCGGGCAUGCCUGUCCGAGCGUCAUUUCAACCCUCGAACCCCUCCGGGGGGUCGGCGUUGGGGAUCGGCCCUCCCUUAGCGGGUGGCCGUCUCCGAAAUACAGUGGCGGUCUCGCCGCAGCCUCUCCUGCGCAGUAGUUUGCACACUCGCAUCGGGAGCGCGGCGCGUCCACAGCCGUUAAACACCCAACUUCUGAAAUGUUGACCUCGGAUCAGGUAGGAAUACCCGCUGAACUUAAGCAUAUCAAUAAGCGGAGGAAAAGAAACCAACAGGGAUUGCCCCAGUAACGGCGAGUGAAGCGGCAACAGCUCAAAUUUGAAAUCUGGUCCCUAGGGCCCGAGUUGUAAUUUGUAGAGGAUGCUUUUGGUGAGGUGCCGCCCGAGUUCCCUGGAACGGGACGCCACAGAGGGUGAGAGCCCCGUCUGGCUGGCCGCCGAGCCUCUGUAAAGCUCCUUCGACGAGUCGAGUAGUUUGGGAAUGCUGCUCAAAAUGGGAGGUAUAUGUCUUCUAAAGCUAAAUAUUGGCCAGAGACCGAUAGCGCACAAGUAGAGUGAUCGAAAGAUGAAAAGCACCUUGAAAAGAGGGUUAAAUAGUACGUGAAAUUGUUGAAAGGGAAGCGCUUGUGACCAGACUUGGGCGCGGCGGAUCAUCCGGGGUUCUCUCCGGUGCACUUCGCCGCGUCUAGGCCAGCAUCAGUUCGUCGCGGGGGAAAAAGGCUUCGGGAACGUGGCUCCUCCGGGAGUGUUAUAGCCCGUUGCAUAAUACCCUGCGG